GUCGUUUGUUGUGUCGAUGGGCAAGCCCAAAAUCCACUAGAAAGGGCGAGAAAGAAUUCUAGAGGAUCUUGGGCGCGCGUACUCGACACUACUGAACUAC
RNAcentral lists this microRNA precursor (100 nucleotides) under Plutella xylostella (diamondback moth). RNAcentral describes it as "microRNA pxy-mir-8533 precursor". The record is from miRBase by way of RNAcentral. Lineage: Eukaryota; Metazoa; Arthropoda; Insecta; Lepidoptera; Plutellidae.